Molecule: ribosomal RNA, 253 nt
Filed under: uncultured bacterium
Lineage: Bacteria
Description: partial 16S ribosomal RNA
Rfam family: Bacterial small subunit ribosomal RNA
Source: RNAcentral
GACGGAGGAUGCAAGCGUUAUCCGGGAUGAUUGGGCGUAAAGCGUCUGCAGGUGGCAGUUCAAGUCUGCUGUCAAAGACCGGGGCUUAACUUCGGAAAGGCAGUGGAAACUGAACAGCUAGAGUAUGGUAGGGGCAGAGGGAAUUCCUGGUGUAGCGGUGAAAUGCGUAGAGAUCAGGAAGAACAUCGGUGGCGAAGGCGCUCUGCUGGACCAUAACUGACACUCAGGGACGAAAGCUAGGGGAGCGAACGGG